UUUUGCGCAAUGGGGGAAACCCUGACGCAGCAACGCCGCGUGCGGGACGAAGGCCCUCGGGUUGUAAACCGCUUUCAGCAGGGAAGACANAAGACGGUACCUGCAGAAGAAGCUCCGGCUAACUACGUGCCAGCAGCCGCGGUAAUACGUAGGGGGGCGAGCGUUAUCCGGAUUCAUUGGGCGUAAAGCGCGCGUAGGCGGCCGCCUAAGCGGGACCUCUAACCCCGGGGCUCAACCCCGGGCCGGGUCCCGGACUGGGCGGCUCGAGUGCGGUAGAGGAGAGCGGAAUUCCCGGUGUAGCGGUGGAAUGCGCAGAUAUCGGGAAGAACACCGAUGGCGAAGGCAGCUCUCUGGGCCGUCACUGACGCUGAGGCGCGAAAGCUGGGGGAGCGAACAGG
Molecule: ribosomal RNA, 398 nt
Filed under: uncultured bacterium
Lineage: Bacteria
Description: bacterial SSU rRNA
Rfam family: Bacterial small subunit ribosomal RNA
Source: RNAcentral